Petromyzon marinus (sea lamprey) is the source of this 433-nucleotide long non-coding RNA. RefSeq lists it as uncharacterized. NCBI's taxonomy places the organism in Eukaryota, Metazoa, Chordata, Hyperoartia, Petromyzontiformes, Petromyzontidae. The record is from RefSeq and is a predicted model, not a curated record.
CUUUGCACGACGCUGCCGCUGCCGCCGCUGCCGCUGCUGCUGCGUCGACACGCGAGCCAGGGUUCCACGCCUCACCUUGGGUUGGAGCCACCGUCGGUGACCAACGUACACCGCCGGGCUCGACGCAUCCCUGGGCCUCGUCCGCGAGGUCGUCUCCGAGUACGACGCCGUAGCCCGGCUCAGGAUCGUCCUGUCCCGCCGUUGCUCGCAGCAGCUCCCUCCUCGUCACAGCCACCCUGGCCAUGUCUGCUCCCGAAAUCUUCAUGUAGCGGUUGCCGUUGCAGACCUGCAUUCCAGUCCCAUAAAAAAAAAACAAUGAUAAAAAACAAGUUGGAAAAAGUCACACGUACCGCAUGGAUUAUGUAACGCUUUCCAACACGAGUUAUCAGUACUGUUAGCUGUCAGCAUUAAAAUGUUUGCUUAUUUGAAAAAA